AUGGAUCGCUCGCUCUUAAAGGAUCAGCAUGAAUCUGUUCGCAAGUCCACCGUCCGGAUCUCCUUCAAGUGGCGAAAUCCUCACAGCAAGGGAACACGAGGGGGAUCGAAGCCAGUGACUGUCGUCCUCCCCGGCACCAUCGUCUCCAUCAAGGACGACGGAUCCUGCGUCGUCAUCGCGGAUCCCACAUUCUUCCGUCAGAAGAACUGCCCUUUCGUCGUGAAUCUGCCGAUUGCUGGGGGAUACGAUGAUGUGCCAGUGGCCCCAUCUAAGAAGUUCUUGGAACAAGAAUUUUGCACAUUGGUUCUUCAGGUGCAAGCAAAUGAUUUCGUACAGCCGGUCACAUUUGAGACUGGACAUGUUCGAAUAUCGGAGGAGGUGUAUGCUUUUAUGUUCCCGCAGAGGGAUUUUUUCACGCCAACAGCUUACUGUUGA
RNAcentral lists this ribosomal RNA (435 nucleotides) under Triticum aestivum (bread wheat). Its description in RNAcentral is "partial small subunit ribosomal RNA". The record is from RNAcentral. Lineage: Eukaryota; Viridiplantae; Streptophyta; Magnoliopsida; Poales; Poaceae.